RNAcentral lists this small RNA (88 nucleotides) under Spiribacter salinus M19-40. Its description in RNAcentral is "t44 RNA". It matches the Rfam family "t44 RNA". From Rfam's summary of the family: This family consists of a number of bacterial RNA genes of between 135 and 170 bases in length. The t44 gene is found between the map and rpsB genes in all species in the full alignment apart from Shigella flexneri. Lineage: Bacteria; Pseudomonadati; Pseudomonadota; Gammaproteobacteria; Chromatiales; Ectothiorhodospiraceae. The record is from Rfam by way of RNAcentral.
CAAUGCAAGAGAAAACUUCACACAUGCACCGACACGACUGGCGGGGUGCCCCAAGGGGUUGUCAGUUGCGGGUGCAUGGAGGCUUAAC